AUCCAGCUAACGAGUCCCAAAUAGGACAAAUGCGCGUCCUAGAU
This is a non-coding RNA of Schistosoma margrebowiei, 44 nucleotides long. NCBI's taxonomy places the organism in Eukaryota, Metazoa, Platyhelminthes, Trematoda, Strigeidida, Schistosomatidae. The record is from Rfam.